AGGUCAUAACUUUUGACUCUGCCUUUCCAAAACAUUCACUUUAUUCUUCUUUAAGGUAGGUGGGUAUAUUUUGUCACAAUAUAAUAUAUAUAAUAGUAUAAAGUAUAAAUUGAGUUUGUAUCUCCCUUCUGGUACAUAGCAGACAUUAUCAGGCUAAUAUAGAAGCAAUUAUAAAAAUGGUAAACAUAAAUAAACUAUGAUCAGUGGAGCAGUGCUGAGGAUGAACUAUAGUUUAAUAGUCUGAUAGCUUGGGGGGAAAUGUUGCUCUGCAGUUGGUGCGGCAGCAGAAACUUCUAUAUCUCUUCCCAGAAGGCAGCAGGAUGAACAGGCUGUGGCUGGAUGUGAUGGAAAACCCAGUUGUGGCACCGUGCUGCCGCAGCCUCGUUGGAUGCCGGGUCUGCGUUGAGCAGUGGGCAACUACCUCGCCGCACUGCCCAAAAUGCAGGGACGAGAUGUUCCAAGAAAAAAAAAAUUUAAAUUACAGGGAUGGGGGAGAUUGUGAAUGUUUUGAAAGACACUAUUAGUUAGGAGAUUGUUUUAGUUAGUUUUUAUUUUAGGUUUAGGUUUUAAGUUAAGUCAAAUGGUUAAGUUUGGUUAUGUUCAUCUGUUAUGUUAUUUUAUGCAAUUAAUAAAUUGUUCAAUUUUAUUUUCUAUUACUCUCACUUGCAGAACUCCUUUUGUUGUAUUCAUUUUAUGUUAUUUUAUGCAAAUAAUAAAUUAAUAUAAAUAUUUUAAUAAAAUAAAUUAUGUUCACUUUCA
This is a long non-coding RNA of Carassius auratus (goldfish), 759 nucleotides long. RefSeq lists it as uncharacterized. The record is from RefSeq and is a predicted model, not a curated record. The transcript has 2 exons. NCBI's taxonomy places the organism in Eukaryota, Metazoa, Chordata, Actinopteri, Cypriniformes, Cyprinidae.